This 492-nucleotide ribosomal RNA is filed under the name uncultured bacterium. Its description in RNAcentral is "partial 16S ribosomal RNA". It matches the Rfam family "Bacterial small subunit ribosomal RNA", at positions 29 to 507 of the family's 1533-position model. The record is from RNAcentral.
AGUGAACGCUGGCGGUAGGCCUAACACAUGCAAGUCGAACGGCAGCACAGUAAGAGCUUGCUCUUACGGGUGGCGAGUGGCGGACGGGUGAGGAAUACAUCGGAAUCUACUUUUUCGUGGGGGAUAACGUAGGGAAACUUACGCUAAUACCGCAUACGACCUACGGGUGAAAGCAGGGGAUCUUCGGACCUUGCGCGAUUGAAUGAGCCGAUGUCGGAUUAGCUAGUUGGCGGGGUAAAGGCCCACCAAGGCGACGAUCCGUAGCUGGUCUGAGAGGAUGAUCAGCCACACUGGAACUAAGACACGGUCCAGACUCCUACGGGAGGCAGCAGUGGGGAAUAUUGGACAAUGGGCGCAAGCCUGGUCCAGCCAUACCGCGUGGGUGAAGAAGGCCUUCGGGUUGUAAAGCCCUUUUGUUGGGAAAGAAAAGCAGCAGGUUAAUACCCCGCUGUUCUGACGGUACCCAAAGAAUAAGCACCGGCUAACUUCGUG